This 873-nucleotide ribosomal RNA is filed under the name Chaetothyriales sp. RNAcentral's name for it is "bacterial SSU rRNA". The stretch from base 141 to 873 matches the Rfam family "Eukaryotic small subunit ribosomal RNA", at positions 1 to 748 of the family's 1831-position model. Lineage: Eukaryota; Fungi; Ascomycota; Eurotiomycetes; Chaetothyriales. The record is from RNAcentral.
AGCAGAUUUAGUGGGCCAUUCCAUCCAGCGAGUAAAGCUUUACCCGUGACAUUAUCCAAGUGUGGGAACCGCCACAGCGAUCGUUGGGUGAUAUCCGCAGCCAGGACUGCUUCUGUUUUGGUGCAACGACUAAGUCGUAAUGGCCGGCCCUGCCGGUAAAGAGAUAGUCUCAAUCUCGUGGGGAGACCCAUGACAGCUUUUGCAUUAAAUCAGUUAUCGUUUAUUUGAUAAUACCUUACCACUUGGAUAACUGUGGUAAUUCUAGAGCUAAUACAUGCUAAAAACCCCGACUUCGGAAGGGGUGUAUUUAUUAGAUAAAAAACCAAUGCCCUUCGGGGCUCCUUGGUGAUUCAUAAUAACUUAACGAAUCGCAUGGCCUUGCGCCGGCGAUGGUUCAUUCAAAUUUCUGCCCUAUCAACUUUCGAUGGUAGGAUAGUGGCCUACCAUGGUCUUAACGGGUAACGGGGAAUUAGGGUUCGAUUCCGGAGAGGGAGCCUGAGAAACGGCUACCACAUCCAAGGAAGGCAGCAGGCGCGCAAAUUACCCAAUCCCAAUCCGGGGAGGUAGUGACAAUAAAUACUGAUACAGGGCUCUUUCGGGUCUUGUAAUUGGAAUGAGAAAAAUCUAAAUCCCUUAACGAGGAACAAUUGGAGGGCAAGUCUGGUGGAGGAACAAUUGGAGGGCAAGUCUGGUGCCAGCAGCCGCGGUAAUUCCAGCUCCAAUAGCGUAUAUUAAAGUUGUUGCAGUUAAAAAGCUCGUAGUUGAACCUUGGGUCUGGCUGAUCUGUCCUCCUAAUCGAGCGCACGGAUUCGGUCGGACCUUUCCUUCUGGGGAGCCCUAUGCCCUUCACUGGGCGUGGUGGGGAACCAGGAC